RNAcentral lists this ribosomal RNA (503 nucleotides) under uncultured bacterium. Its description in RNAcentral is "partial 16S ribosomal RNA". It matches the Rfam family "Bacterial small subunit ribosomal RNA", at positions 30 to 523 of the family's 1533-position model. The record is from RNAcentral.
AUUGAACGCUGGCGGCAGGCUUAACACAUGCAAGUCGAGCGGGGUGAUGGUGCUUGCACUAUCACUUAGCGGCGGACGGGUGAGUAAUGCUUAGGAAUCUGCCUAUUAGUGGGGGACAACAUCUCGAAAGGGAUGCUAAUACCGCAUACGUCCUACGGGAGAAAGCAGGGGAUCACUUGUGACCUUGCGCUAAUAGAUGAGCCUAAGUCGGAUUAGCUAGUUGGUGGGGUAAAGGCCUACCAAGGCGACGAUCUGUAGCGGGUCUGAGAGGAUGAUCCGCCGCACGGGGACUGAGCGACGGCCCAUACUCCUACGGGAGGCAGCAGUGGGGAAUAUUGGACAAUGGGGGGAGCCCUGAUCCAGCCAGGCCGCGUGUGUGAAGAAGGCCUUAUGGUUGUAAAGCACUUUAAGCGAGGAGGAGGCUCUUUUGGUGAAUACCCAAGAUGAGCGGACGUUACUCGCAGAAUAAGCACCGGCUAACUCUGUGCCAGCCGCCGCCGUAA